AUAUCUCUCCGUACGGGAAGGAUGAGAAGCUUCGACUAAGGUUCGAUUCGAGCGCAGCGAGAAAGCGUUGCCGCAGGCAACGA
This 83-nucleotide small RNA is filed under the name Salmonella enterica. RNAcentral's name for it is "partial RtT sRNA". It matches the Rfam family "RtT RNA", at positions 1 to 82 of the family's 130-position model. From Rfam's summary of the family: This family represents a bacterial cis-regulatory element known as RtT RNA. The exact function of RtT is unknown although it is thought that it may be involved in changing the cellular response in relation to amino acid starvation. RNAcentral also lists the same sequence under 4 other names. The record is from RNAcentral. Lineage: Bacteria; Pseudomonadati; Pseudomonadota; Gammaproteobacteria; Enterobacterales; Enterobacteriaceae.